RNAcentral lists this ribosomal RNA (853 nucleotides) under Chiodecton sp. van den Boom 46932 (h). RNAcentral describes it as "LSU rRNA". It matches the Rfam family "Eukaryotic large subunit ribosomal RNA", at positions 72 to 941 of the family's 3401-position model. Lineage: Eukaryota; Fungi; Ascomycota; Arthoniomycetes; Arthoniales; Roccellaceae. The record is from RNAcentral.
GGAUUGCCCUAGUAACGGCGAGUGAAGCGGCAACAGCUCAAAUUUGAAAUCUAGCCCCUGCGGGGCUCGAGUUGUAAUUUGCAGAGGAUGCUUCGGCGCUGGCCCCGGGCUAAGUCCCCUGGAAUGGGGCGCCCUAGAGGGUGAGAGCCCCGUACUCGCCUGGAAGUCCUUCGCCGGGUGAAGCUCCUUCGACGAGUCGAGUUGUUUGGGAAUGCAGCUCUAAGUGGGAGGUAAAUUUCUUCUAAAGCUAAAUAUAGGCCAGAGACCGAUAGCGCACAAGUAGAGUGAUCGAAAGAUGAAAAGCACUUUGGAAAGAGAGUUAAAAAGCACGUGAAAUUGUUGAAAGGGAAGCUCUUGCUGCCAGACUUGCCGUGGUUGCUCAGCCGUCCCCCGGGGCGGUGUACUCUCCCACCGGCAGGCCAGCGUCGGUUCGGGCGGCCGGAUAAAGGCCCUGGGAAUGUGGCACCCCUCGGGGUGUGUUAUAGCCCGGGGUGCAAUGCGGUCGGCCCGGUCCGAGGGAUGCGUUCGCGAGGACGCUGGCGUAAUGGCCGCAAGCGACCCGUCUUGAAACACGGACCAAGGAGUCUAACAUCUGUGCGAGUGUUUGGGCGUCAAACCCAUACGCGCAAUGAAAGUGAACGGAGGUGGGAACCCCCCUCGAGGGGUGCACCAUCGACCGAUCCUGAUGUCUUCGGAUGGAUUUGAGUAAGAGCAUAGCUGUUGGGACCCGAAAGAUGGUGAACUAUUCCCGGAUAGGGUGAAGCCAGAGGAAACUCUGGUGGAGGCUCGCAGCGGUUCUGACGUGCAAAUCGAUCGUCAAAUCUAGGAAUAGGGGCGAAAGACUAAUCGAACC